GUGAGGAAUAUUGCGCAAUGGAGGCAACUCUGACGCAGCCAUGCCGCGUGCAGGAAGAAGGCGCUACGCGUUGUAAACUGCUUUUAACCGGGAAGAAACCCCAGGACGUGUCCUGGGUUGACGGUACCGGAGGAAUAAGCACCGGCUAACUUCGUGCCAGCAGCCGCGGUAAUACGAAGGGUGCAAGCGUUAUCCGUAUUCAUUGGGUUUAAAGGGUGCGUAGGCGGAGCGUUAAGUCAGUGGUGAAAUCCUGCAGCUUAACUGUAGACUUGCCAUUGAUACUGGCGCUCUUGAGUGCGCUUGAAGUGGGCGGAAUGUGCCGUGUAGCGGUGAAAUGCUUAGAUAUGGCACAGAACACCAAUUGCGAAGGCAGCUCACUAAGGCGAUACUGACGCUGAGGCACGAAAGCGUGGGGAUCGAACAGGAUUAGAUACCCGUGUAGUCC
RNAcentral lists this ribosomal RNA (445 nucleotides) under uncultured bacterium. Its description in RNAcentral is "partial 16S ribosomal RNA". It matches the Rfam family "Bacterial small subunit ribosomal RNA", at positions 354 to 796 of the family's 1533-position model. The record is from RNAcentral.